This 450-nucleotide ribosomal RNA is filed under the name uncultured bacterium. RNAcentral describes it as "bacterial SSU rRNA". It matches the Rfam family "Bacterial small subunit ribosomal RNA", at positions 354 to 796 of the family's 1533-position model. The record is from RNAcentral.
GUGGGGAAUUUUGGACAAUGGGGGAAACCCUGAUCCAGCCAUGCCGCGUGCAGGAUGAAGGUCUUCGGAUUGUAAACUGCUUUUGUCAGGGACGAAAAGGUUUCGGCUAAUACCCGGAACUGCUGACGGUACCUGAAGAAUAAGCACCGGCUAACUACGUGCCAGCAGCCGCGGUAAUACGUAGGGUGCAAGCGUUAAUCGGAAUUACUGGGCGUAAAGCGUGCGCAGGCGGUUCCGUAAGAUAGAUGUGAAAUCCCCGGGCUUAACCUGGGAAUUGCAUUUAUGACUGCGGGACUGGAGUUUAUCAGAGGGGGGUGGAAUUCCAAGUGUAGCAGUGAAAUGCGUAGAUAUUUGGAAGAACACCAAUGGCGAAGGCAGCCCCCUGGGAUACGACUGACGCUCAUGCACGAAAGCGUGGGGAGCAAACAGGAUUAGAAACCCUAGUAGUCC